Molecule: ribosomal RNA, 173 nt
Filed under: Utricularia subulata
Lineage: Eukaryota; Viridiplantae; Streptophyta; Magnoliopsida; Lamiales; Lentibulariaceae
Description: partial 5.8S ribosomal RNA
Rfam family: 5.8S ribosomal RNA
About the family: 5.8S ribosomal RNA (5.8S rRNA) is a component of the large subunit of the eukaryotic ribosome. It is transcribed by RNA polymerase I as part of the 45S precursor that also contains 18S and 28S rRNA.
Source: RNAcentral
GACUGAUUGCAACGGAUAACUCGGGUAACGGAUAGCUGAAGCUCGUAGCGAAAUGCGAUACUUGGUGUGAAUUGCAGAAUCCCGCGAACCAUCGAAUCUUUGAACGCAAGUUGCGCCCGAGGUGUUUCCGACCGAGGGCAUGCCUCCCUGGGCUUCACGCAUCGCGUCGCCCC